Molecule: ribosomal RNA, 465 nt
Filed under: uncultured bacterium
Lineage: Bacteria
Description: partial 16S ribosomal RNA
Rfam family: Bacterial small subunit ribosomal RNA
Source: RNAcentral
GACGAACGCUGGCGGCGCGCCUAACACAUGCAAGUCGAACGAGCGAGAGAGAGCUUGCUUUCUCAAGCGAGUGGCGAACGGGUGAGUAACGCGUGAGGAACCUGCCUCAAAGAGGGGGACAACAGUUGGAAACGACUGCUAAUACCGCAUAAGCCCACAGGUCGGCAUCGACCAGAGGGAAAAGGAGCAAUCCGCUUUGAGAUGGCCUCGCGUCCGAUUAGCUAGUUGGUGAGGUAACGGCCCACCAAGGCAACGAUCGGUAGCCGGACUGAGAGGUUGAACGGCCACAUUGGGACUGAGACACGGCCCAGACCCCUACGGGAGGCAGCAGUGGGGAAUAUUGAACAAUGGGGGAAACCCUGAUGCAGCGACGCCGCGUGGAGGAAGAAGGUCUUCGGAUUGUAAACUCCUGUUGUUGAGGAAGAUAAUGACGGUACUCAACAAGGAAGGGACGGCUAACUACGU